Molecule: long non-coding RNA, 378 nt
Organism: Populus trichocarpa (black cottonwood)
Lineage: Eukaryota; Viridiplantae; Streptophyta; Magnoliopsida; Malpighiales; Salicaceae
Exons: 3
Source: RefSeq, a predicted model, not a curated record
AGGAAUCAUUGAUUGGGUUGUUUCUGUUUGCAACCCAAACAACAGUUCUAACUGGGAUGUUCUUGUACCAUAUUCCGACAUAACGGUUCCUGGAACUUCCAGGACUGAAGAAACCAAGCUCAAAACUUCCAUCUUUCGAAACUAAGGUUCUUGUCCCUCCAUCACGAAUAGAUUGAGACAAAGUAAGGGUAUUAGCUGUAUUACAAAAUCUAGAGAAUAGAAGGAGUAGAUUCGCAAUAAUAAUUAGCAUUGAAGAAAGAGUGUCCAUUAGCAACUGGGAAAACUUUGAACUAUUUUGCUUUCUGUAACAGAUGGAAUACAGGUAUGGUUUCCAAUCCACAAGGGUCAAAGUAACAUAGAAGUGGACAAGUCUUUUUU